Molecule: ribosomal RNA, 435 nt
Filed under: uncultured bacterium
Lineage: Bacteria
Description: partial 16S ribosomal RNA
Rfam family: Bacterial small subunit ribosomal RNA
Source: RNAcentral
AGCGAACGCUGGCGGCAGGCUUAACACAUGCCAGUCGAACGGGCAUCUUCGGAUGUCAGUGGCAGACGGGUGAGUAACACGUGGGAACGUACCCUUCGGUUCGGAAUAACUCAGGGAAACUUGAUCUAAUACCGGAUACGCCCUUUUGGGGAAAGGUUUACUGCCGAAGGAUCGGCCCGCGUCUGAUUAGCUUGUUGGUGGGGUAACGGCCUACCAAGGCGACGAUCAGUAGCUGGUCUGAGAGGAUGAUCAGCCACACUGGGGCUGAGACACGGCCCAGAAUCCUACGGAAGGGGGCAGUGGGGGAUAUUGGAAAAUGGGCGCAAGCCUGAUCCAGCCAUGCCGGGUGAGUGAUGAAGGCCUUAGGGUUGUAAAGCUCUUUUGUCCGGGACGAUAAUGACGGUACCGGAAGAAUAAGCCCCGGCUAACUUCGUG